This is a non-coding RNA of Pelobates cultripes (western spadefoot toad), 274 nucleotides long. NCBI's taxonomy places the organism in Eukaryota, Metazoa, Chordata, Amphibia, Anura, Pelobatidae. The record is from the annotation of a GenBank genome assembly.
AGACAGAGACCAAUAGCUAUCAUGACUGGCACCUACCCUGCAUUUACUUGUCAGGGCUUCAGCACUCCCAGGGACUAUCGGAAAUCCUCAUUGUCCUUCUAUCACUUCUGCCAGCACCAGACUGGGGAAAAAUAUCGGCCUGGGCAUUUGUAAUCACAGCGGCCCAGUGGGAAGGGGGUGCGACCACAGGGGGGCUGUUGUGUAAUUACCAUGACGAGCAUGCCCCCCUCAAAGUUAGCAUGUUGGAUAAAUGCUCUUCCAAGGCAGCCUAACA